Molecule: ribosomal RNA, 433 nt
Filed under: uncultured bacterium
Lineage: Bacteria
Description: partial 16S ribosomal RNA
Rfam family: Bacterial small subunit ribosomal RNA
Source: RNAcentral
AACGAACGCUGGCGGCAUGCCUAACACAUGCCAGUCGAACGAGACCUUCGGGUCUAGUGGCGCACGGGUGCGUAACGCGUGGGAACCUGCCCUUAGGUUCGGAAUAACUCCCCGAAAGGGGUGCUAAUACCGGAUAAUGUCUUCGGACCAAAGAUUUAUCGCCUUUGGAUGGGCCCGCGUUGGAUUAGCUAGUUGGUAGGGUAAAAGCCUACCAAGGCGACGAUCCAUAGCUGGUCUGAGAGGAUGAUCAGCCACACUGGGACUGAGACACGGCCCAGACUCCUACGGGAGGCAGCAGUGGGGAAUAUUGGACAAUGGGCGAAAGCCUGAUCCAGCAAUGCCGCGUGAGUGAUGAAGGCCUUAGGGUUGUAAAGCUCUUUUACCCGGGAUGAUAAUGACAGUACCGGAAGAAUAAGCUCCGGCUAACUCCGUG